GUGCUCACUUUGGCAGCACACAUACUAAAAUUGGAAUGAUAUAGAGAAGAUUAGCAUGGCCCCUGCACAAGGAUGACAUGCAAAUUCGUGAAGUGUUCCAUUAAAAA
RNAcentral lists this small nuclear RNA (107 nucleotides) under Castor canadensis (American beaver). Lineage: Eukaryota; Metazoa; Chordata; Mammalia; Rodentia; Castoridae. The record is from RNAcentral.